RNAcentral lists this ribosomal RNA (426 nucleotides) under uncultured bacterium. RNAcentral describes it as "partial 16S ribosomal RNA". It matches the Rfam family "Bacterial small subunit ribosomal RNA", at positions 354 to 796 of the family's 1533-position model. The record is from RNAcentral.
GUGGGGAAUCUUGCGCAAUGGACGAAAGCCUGACGCAGCAACGCCGCGUGGGGGAUGAAGGCUCUCGGGUUGUAAACCCCUUUCAGCAGGGACGAAUCAAGACGGUACCUGCAGAAGAAGCCCCGGCUAACUACGUGCCAGCAGCCGCGGUAACACGUAGGGGGCAAGCGUUGUCCGGAUUUAUUGGGCGUAAAGAGCUCGUAGGUGGCUGAGUAAGUCGGAUGUCAAAUCCCCAGGCUCAACCUGGGAUCCCAUCCGAUACUGCUCUGGCUAGAGUCCGGUAGGGGAGCGUGGAAUUCCUGGUGUAGCGGUGAAAUGCGCUGAUAUCAGGAGGAACACCAGCGGCGAAGGCGGCGCUCUGGGCCGGUACUGACACUGAGGAGCGAAAGCGUGGGUAGCAAACAGGAUUAGAUACCCGGGUAGUCC